RNAcentral lists this ribosomal RNA (502 nucleotides) under uncultured bacterium. RNAcentral's name for it is "partial 16S ribosomal RNA". It matches the Rfam family "Bacterial small subunit ribosomal RNA", at positions 29 to 523 of the family's 1533-position model. The record is from RNAcentral.
AACGAACGCUGGCGGCAGGCUUAACACAUGCAAGUCGAGCGGGCGAGGUUGCUUCGGUAACUGAGCUAGCGGCGGACGGGUGAGUAAUGCUUAGGAAUCUGCCUAUUAGUGGGGGACAACAUUCCGAAAGGGAUGCUAAUACCGCAUACGUCCUACGGGAGAAAGCAGGGGCUCUUUAUGACCUUGCGCUAAUAGAUGAGCCUAAGUCGGAUUAGCUAGUUGGUGGGGUAAAGGCCUACCAAGGCGACGAUCUGUAGCGGGUCUGAGAGGAUGAUCCGCCACACUGGGACUGAGACACGGCCCAGACUCCUACGGGAGGCAGCAGUGGGGAAUAUUGGACAAUGGGGGGAACCCUGAUCCAGCCAUGCCGCGUGUGUGAAGAAGGCCUUUUGGUUGUAAAGCACUUUAAGUGGGGAGGAGGCUUACCUGGUUAAUACCUGGGCUAAGUGGACGUUACCCACAGAAUAAGCACCGGCUAACUCUGUGCCAGCAGCCGCAGUAA